GAUGAACGCUGGCGGCGUGCUUAACACAUGCAAGUCGAACGGUGAAGGCGGCGCUUGCUCUGCUGGAUCAGUGGCGAACGGGUGAGUAACACGUGAGCAACCUGCCCCUGACUCUGGGAUAAGCGCUGGAAACGGCGUCUAAUACUGGAUACGAGCUGCGCAGGCAUCUUCAGCAGCUGGAAAGAAUUUCGGUCAGGGAUGAGCUCGCGGCCUAUCAGCUUGUUGGUGAGGUAAUGGCUCACCAAGGCGUCGACGGGUCGCCGGCCUGAGUGGGUGACCGGCCACACUGGGACUGAGACACGGCCCAGACUCCUACGGGAGGCAGCAGGGGGGAAUAUUGCACAAGGGGCGAAAGCCUGAUGCAGCAACGCCGCGUGAGGGACGACGGCCUUCGGGUUGUAAACCUCUUUUAGCAGGGAAGAAGCGAAAGUGACGGUACCUGCAGAAAAAGCGCCGGCUAACUACGUG
Molecule: ribosomal RNA, 468 nt
Filed under: uncultured bacterium
Lineage: Bacteria
Description: partial 16S ribosomal RNA
Rfam family: Bacterial small subunit ribosomal RNA
Source: RNAcentral